Molecule: long non-coding RNA, 297 nt
Organism: Scylla paramamosain (green mud crab)
Lineage: Eukaryota; Metazoa; Arthropoda; Malacostraca; Decapoda; Portunidae
Exons: 3
Source: RefSeq, a predicted model, not a curated record
CGCCUCCCCUGUCACUUGAGGUAAAGAGUGAGUUGUGUUGAAGUCCCACGGUGGCGAUUAUCGUAAUAUUUUUCAUCCAUCCGUGCGUCAGGAGGGCUGCGGGUCGUGUGGUAACUCCUGCCUCCAGCACCACCGCCAUAUACUCGCCUCGCUCUCUCUCUCUCUCUCCCUGCCGGCCAUAUUGACACUCAGGUAACGUGAUAUGACCAGUGCCGGGAAUCUGAUGGCGCGGAAUGUGCUGAGGAUAGUGAAUGGGGGAGAAGGCAUGAUGCUACUCAUGCUGCGGCUAUGACAAUC